AAUUAUUAAAGGGAAAAAACAGCCCACCAGAUGCUAUGCAGAUUAUUAGUUUUCACGAAAAUUGAACUGUGUGGGAAAAAUCUGCUUCUCAAAUACCUGUUGCAGUCAUGUCAACCAUUCAUAGUAUCCCCAAAUCAAAAAACUAGAGCUAUGAUCAGUUGUGUCGGUACUAAAGUGACCUAAUACUAUACUGCUGUACAUUGUCAUUUCGAGAGUGGCGUAUGAGGUAUCUGACGGCUAAAAUUUGCGGUUGCCAUUGCUACGUAAAAGACACUGCAUACAAUCAAGAGCCGUUGAGGUUGUUACUGUCAAUUUGGUCAUUCAGUUCCCCAAAACUUGCAGCUGAAACAUCAUCACUGUUGGUGAAAGAAAAGCUCCAUAUGGAGACACAAUUUUCAUCAC
Molecule: long non-coding RNA, 402 nt
Filed under: Coffea arabica (coffee)
Lineage: Eukaryota; Viridiplantae; Streptophyta; Magnoliopsida; Gentianales; Rubiaceae
Description: long non-coding RNA (CARA_LNC001576)
Source: RNAcentral